AUGUCUGCAGGGAGGUGCUUGCUUCUCACUCACCUGGAACAUUCCUGGAACAAAUGCAGUAGGCACCUGCCUGGUCUCCCUGCCUUCGCGUGCUCCAUCCUAGAGAACUUCAUCUCCAAAAGGAAUCUAGAUGGUGCAUUCCCUAUGACUGGAACUACUGUGAACGUGCCCCCAUUCCUUUCAUCCUGCAAGAUCUUGAAUCUGCAAAAUGAACAACAUUGAUGCCAGUACAAGAUGCAAGACUAUAUGGUCAAGCACGGUUCUGAACCUGUCUCCUACCCCUUGUCCUCAGCUGCUCUUCCUGCCUCCACAAACUGUCCACUGUGUGUCCAGCCUUACAGAUCUCAUCGCUUUCCUUCGGUCACGUGGUUACUCUUUGUCCUGGAUCUUCUUCUAACUACUUCACAUUCUCUCAGUGGUUAGAACAGAAACGAUCCAGCUGAGAACUGCUGGAUCACUAGACCAUCAGACAACGUGGUAUCAUUUCUCCCCGGUUCUUCCUCCAGCUAUGAAACAACCUUCCCCAUUCAGAGCUGCCCCAGUCCUAACGCCUUCUUCAGGUGUCUUGUCUGCCU
This 575-nucleotide long non-coding RNA is filed under the name Capra hircus (goat). RNAcentral's name for it is "lncRNA (ENSCHIG00010005040.1)". Lineage: Eukaryota; Metazoa; Chordata; Mammalia; Artiodactyla; Bovidae. The record is from RNAcentral.